Molecule: ribosomal RNA, 430 nt
Filed under: uncultured bacterium
Lineage: Bacteria
Description: partial 16S ribosomal RNA
Rfam family: Bacterial small subunit ribosomal RNA
Source: RNAcentral
AACGAACGCUGGCGGCAGGCCUAACACAUGCAAGUCGAACGCCCCGCAAGGGGAGUGGCAGACGGGUGAGUAACACGUGGGCACCUUCCCUAUAGUACGGAAUAGCCCAGGGAAACUUGGAGUAAUACCGUAUACGCCCGAAAGGGGAAAGAAUUUCGCUAUGGGAUGGGCCCGCGUAGGAUUAGCUAGUUGGUGAGGUAAUGGCUCACCAAGGCGACGAUCCUUAGCUGGUUUGAGAGAACGACCAGCCACACUGGGACUGAGACACGGCCCAGACUCCUACGGGAGGCAGCAGUGGGGAAUAUUGGAAAAUGGGCGCAAGGCUGAUCCAGCCAUGCCGCGUGAGUGAUGAAGGCCUUAGGGUUGUAAAGCUCUUUUGGCGGGGACGAUAAUGACGGUACCCGCAGAAUAAGUCCCGGCUAACUUCGUG